UACGGGGGGGGCAAGCGUUGUUCGGAAUUACUGGGCGUAAAGGGCUCGUAGGUGGCCAACUAAGUCAGACGUGAAAUCCCUCGGCUUAACCGGGGAACUGCGUCUGAUACUGGAUGGCUUGAGUUUGGGAGAGGGACGCGGAAUUCCAGGUGUAGCGGUGAAAUGCGUAGAUAUCAGGAAGAACACCCGUGGCGAAGGCGGCUCUCUGGGACGGUACUGACGCUGAGGUGCGAAAGCGUGGGGAGCAAACAGG
This 253-nucleotide ribosomal RNA is filed under the name uncultured bacterium. Its description in RNAcentral is "partial 16S ribosomal RNA". It matches the Rfam family "Bacterial small subunit ribosomal RNA", at positions 524 to 776 of the family's 1533-position model. The record is from RNAcentral.